AGUAAAGUCAGCUAAGUCAAGCUUUUGGGCCCAUACCCCAAAAAUGUAGGUUAAAAUCCUCCCUUUACUA
Molecule: transfer RNA, 70 nt
Filed under: Hippocampus mohnikei (Japanese seahorse)
Lineage: Eukaryota; Metazoa; Chordata; Actinopteri; Syngnathiformes; Syngnathidae
Description: tRNA-Met
Rfam family: tRNA
About the family: Transfer RNA (tRNA) molecules are approximately 80 nucleotides in length. Their secondary structure includes four short double-helical elements and three loops (D, anti-codon, and T loops).
Source: RNAcentral